GCUGAGGUUGGUGGUUCACACUUAUAAUCCCAGACACUGUGGAGGCUGAGGCAGAUUUCUGAGCUGCAUGCAGUAGUCUAAGCCAAUCGGGUGUCUGGACUAAGUCGAGCACCAAUAUUGUAGACCCCCAGGAGUGGUGAACCACCAGGCUGACUAGAGAGGGGUGAACUAGUUCAGGUCAGAAAUGGAAUAGGUCAAAGUUCCCAUGGCAAUCAGUAGUGGGAUCAUUCCAUGAGACGCUGCUCCAACCCAAGUGAGACAGACCCAAUCUCA
RNAcentral lists this non-coding RNA (273 nucleotides) under Phascolarctos cinereus (koala). The record is from RNAcentral. Lineage: Eukaryota; Metazoa; Chordata; Mammalia; Diprotodontia; Phascolarctidae.